UAACAAGGAUUCCCCUAGUAACGGCGAGUGAAGCGGGAUGAGCUCAAAUUUAAAAUCUGGCUGGUUUACUAGUCCGAAUUGUAGUUUAAAGAAGCGUUUUCGGUGGCAGCCUGGGUAUAAAUCCUUUGGAACAGGGUAUCAUAGAGGGUGAGAAUCCCGUCUUUGACUCAGUGCAUGCUACUAUGUGAUACGUUUUCAAAGAGUCGAGUUGUUUGGGAAUGCAGCUCAAAAUGGGUGGUAAAUUUCAUCUAAAGCUAAAUAUUGGCGAGAGACCGAUAGCGAACAAGUACCGUGAGGGAAAGAUGAAAAGAACUUUGAAAAGAGAGUUAAACAGUGCGUGAAAUUGUUGAAAGGGAAACGCUUGACACCAGUCAUGCGAGCGGAAAAUCAGUCUUUUGCAGUGGGGAGUUGUGUGGGUUCGGACCGCAAGGCCGGCCUGCGCUGCAUCUCUGCUGUAAGUGAUGCACUUUUUCGUUUGCAGGCCAACAUCAGUUUCUUCUGCUGGACAAAACUCUUGAGAAGGUGGCAGCUUAGGCUGUGUUAUAGCUCUUGAGCGAUACAGUGGAGGGGACUGAGGUUUUCGCAGCGCGUGCUCUCGGGCAAGGCUGAUUGGGUGCUAUGGGAUCGUUCGGUGUACAAUGCAUGCAUUUUGCGCCGUGUCUUUUCUAUACUCGCUCAACUCGGCUCUUCCGCGCUUAGGAUGUUGGCUUAAUGGUUUUAAUCGACCCGUCUUGAAACACGGACCAA
RNAcentral lists this ribosomal RNA (747 nucleotides) under Mortierella alpina. Its description in RNAcentral is "eukaryotic LSU rRNA". It matches the Rfam family "Eukaryotic large subunit ribosomal RNA", at positions 66 to 669 of the family's 3401-position model. The record is from RNAcentral. Lineage: Eukaryota; Fungi; Mortierellomycota; Mortierellomycetes; Mortierellales; Mortierellaceae.